This 501-nucleotide ribosomal RNA is filed under the name uncultured bacterium. Its description in RNAcentral is "partial 16S ribosomal RNA". It matches the Rfam family "Bacterial small subunit ribosomal RNA", at positions 29 to 523 of the family's 1533-position model. The record is from RNAcentral.
AUUGAACGCUGGCGGCGUGCUUAACACAUGCAAGUCGAUCGGUAACAGGUGUAGCAAUACAUGCUGACGAGAGGCGGACGGGUGAGGAAUAUUUGGGAAUCUGCCCAUCAGCGGGGACAACCCGGGGAAACCCGGGAUAAUACCGCAUACGCUCUACGGAGGAAAGCCGGGGACCGCAAGGCCUGGCCAUGAUGGAUGAGCCCAAAUCGGAUUAGCUAGUUGGCGGGGUAACGGCCCACCAAGGCGACGAUCCGUAGCUGGUCUGAGAGGACGAUAAGCCCAACCGGAACUGAGACCCGGUCCGGACUCCUACGGGAGGCAGCAGUGGGGAAUAUUGGACAAUGGGGGAAACCCUGAUCCAGCGACGCCGCGUGGGUGAAGAAGGCCUGCGGGUUGUAAAGCCCUUUCGGUAGGGACGAAAGCUCCUGCUCUAAUAAUGCAGGAGGUUGACUUAACCUACAUAAGAAGCACCGGCUAACUCUGUGCCAGCCGCCGCCGUAA